This 253-nucleotide ribosomal RNA is filed under the name uncultured bacterium. RNAcentral describes it as "partial 16S ribosomal RNA". It matches the Rfam family "Bacterial small subunit ribosomal RNA", at positions 524 to 776 of the family's 1533-position model. The record is from RNAcentral.
AACGAACCGUGCGAACGUUGUUCGGAAUCACUGGGCUUAAAGGGCGCGUAGGCGAGCGAUCAAGUCAAAAAUGAAAUCCUCCAACUCAACCAAAGAACUACCUUUGAUACUAGUCAUCUCGAGUGAGGUAGGGGCAUGCGGAACUGAUGGUGGAGCGGUGAAAUGUGUUGAUAUCAUCAGGAACUCCGGUGGCGAAAGCGGCGUGCUGGACCUUUACUGACGCUGAUGCGCGAAAGCCAGGGGAGCGAACGGG